RNAcentral lists this ribosomal RNA (260 nucleotides) under uncultured bacterium. Its description in RNAcentral is "partial 16S ribosomal RNA". It matches the Rfam family "Bacterial small subunit ribosomal RNA", at positions 1243 to 1500 of the family's 1533-position model. The record is from RNAcentral.
CGAGAAGCGAACCUGCGAAGGCAAGCGGAUCUCUUAAAGCCGUUCUCAGUUCGGACUGUAGGCUGCAACUCGCCUACACGAAGCUGGAAUCGCUAGUAAUCGCGGAUCAGCACGCCGCGGUGAAUACGUUCCCGGGCCUUGUACACACCGCCCGUCACACCAUGAGAGUCUGUAACACCCAAAGCCGGUGGGAUAACCUUUAUAGGAGUCAGCCGUCUAAGGUAGGACAGAUGAUUAGGGUGAAGUCGUAACAAGGUAGC